GUAGCUAAAUGCGGAAGAGAUAAGUGCUGAAAGCAUCUAAGCACGAAACUUGCCCCGAGAUGAGUUCUCCCUGAGACUUUAAGUCUCCUGAAGGAACGUUGAAGACGACGACGUUGAUAGGCCGGGUGUGUAAGCGCAGCGAUGCGUUGAGCUAACCGGUACUAAUGAACCGUGAGGCUUAACCUU
RNAcentral lists this ribosomal RNA (186 nucleotides) under Escherichia coli. Its description in RNAcentral is "partial 23S ribosomal RNA". It matches the Rfam family "Bacterial large subunit ribosomal RNA", at positions 2745 to 2925 of the family's 2925-position model. The record is from RNAcentral. RNAcentral also lists the same sequence under 2 other names. Lineage: Bacteria; Pseudomonadati; Pseudomonadota; Gammaproteobacteria; Enterobacterales; Enterobacteriaceae.